AGUGAACGCUGGCGGUAGACCUAACACAUGCCAGUCGAACGGCAGCACAGUAAGAGCUUGCUCUUACGGGUGGCGAGUGGCGGACGGGUGAGGAAUACAUCGGAAUCUACUUUUUCGUGGGGGAUAACGUAGGGAAACUUACGCUAAUACCGCAUACGACCUACGGGUGAAAGCAGGGGAUCUUCGGACCUUGCGCGAUUGAAUGAGCCGAUGUCGGAUUAGCUAGUUGGCGGGGUAAAGGCCCGCCAAGGCGACGAUCCGUAGCUGGUCUGAGAGGAUGAUCAGCCACACUGGAACUGAGACACGGUCCAGACUCCUACGGGAGGCAGCAGUGGGGAAUAUUGGACAAUGGGCGCAAGCCUGAUCCAGCCAUACCGCGUGGGUGAAGAAGGCCUUCGGGUUGUAAAGCCCUUUUGUUGGGAAAGAAAAGCAGCAGGUUAAUACCCCGCUGUUCUGACGGUACCCAAAGAAUAAGCACCGGCUAACUUCGUG
This 492-nucleotide ribosomal RNA is filed under the name uncultured bacterium. RNAcentral's name for it is "partial 16S ribosomal RNA". It matches the Rfam family "Bacterial small subunit ribosomal RNA", at positions 29 to 507 of the family's 1533-position model. The record is from RNAcentral.